UGUAAAAUGAGGAUGGUAACCCUGAAC
RNAcentral lists this non-coding RNA (27 nucleotides) under Homo sapiens (human). The record is from RNAcentral. Lineage: Eukaryota; Metazoa; Chordata; Mammalia; Primates; Hominidae.